Small nuclear RNA from Sorex fumeus (smoky shrew), 161 nucleotides. RefSeq annotates it as U1 spliceosomal RNA. The record is from RefSeq and is a predicted model, not a curated record. The transcript has a single exon. NCBI's taxonomy places the organism in Eukaryota, Metazoa, Chordata, Mammalia, Eulipotyphla, Soricidae.
UUGCUUGCCUGGCAGGAGCAAUACCGUGAUCAUGAAGGUGGUUUUCCUAGGGCAAGGCUUAUCCAUUGCACUUCUGAUGUGCUGACCCCUGCGAUUUCCCCAAAUAUGGCAAACUCAUCUGCAUAAUUCAUUGUGAGGGACAGUUCUCCCACUCUCCCCUA